Callithrix jacchus (white-tufted-ear marmoset) is the source of this 110-nucleotide Y RNA. It matches the Rfam family "Y RNA". Rfam says of the family: Y RNAs are components of the Ro ribonucleoprotein particle (Ro RNP), in association with Ro60 and La proteins. The Y RNAs and Ro60 and La proteins are well conserved, but the function of the Ro RNP is not known. NCBI's taxonomy places the organism in Eukaryota, Metazoa, Chordata, Mammalia, Primates, Cebidae. The record is from Ensembl.
AGCUGUCCAAAGGUAGUGGGUUAUUUCAGUUGAUUGUUCAGUCAGUUACACAUCCAACUGCUUGCUCUACUCCUUCCCCUAUUCUCAGCACUACACUUGACUAGUUUUUA